GAGGAGGGCGUGCAAUCGUAACUCAUCUUCUUGGAAAGGAGUGCUUCCAUAUCGGUGUCUGCAAAUGGCUAAAGUUGUCAAGGAGGGGCCGUGGGGUGCGAACGCAGGGAAUGCGUUCGAUACAGGUCGUGUUGACCGCUUUACCAAGGUCAAGAUUUACCAUGGAGAUGUAAUAUACGGGUUGGAAUUAACCUUCGUCGUGGGUGGUAAACCCCAACCCCCCAUGCUUAUUGGAACCAAAAAGCGCGCAUCCCAAGAGAUCACCCUCGAUGAGGACGAACACUUCAUUUCCAUCUCGGGAUACUUCAAACAAAUGUUGGGAAACGACAUUUUCAUAACACAACUUACUCUUACCACCGAUGAAAACAGAAACGUAAGUGCUGGCAAUGAGACGGGCAAUCCUUUCUCCCUCGCUUUAGAGGAGGGAGGUCAAAUUGUGGGCUUCUGUGGACUUGUCAGUCAACCGACUGUCGCCGUGGGAGCCAUUGCGGUGUACUGCUCCUUGGCUGAUUCCUAGAUAUGGAUGCACUAGUCCGUGUAGGGUUGCUGCUACACAUAUGCUAUACUAAAUAAGGAGCAGCAGUCGUCGUCAUCAUCGUUAUCCUUAUUGUUGUUGUCCCCAUCGUCAUCCUUGUUGUUGUUGCCGUCGUCAUUAUCGUCGUUGAUGUUCUUAUCCUCAAAGUAUUCUUAAAUAAAUUAUAAACCACUUGUUGGUCUACUAUGAUAUGUUUGGACUACAA
Musa acuminata AAA Group (dessert banana) is the source of this 740-nucleotide long non-coding RNA. RefSeq lists it as uncharacterized. Lineage: Eukaryota; Viridiplantae; Streptophyta; Magnoliopsida; Zingiberales; Musaceae. The record is from RefSeq and is a predicted model, not a curated record. The transcript is spliced from 3 exons.